This 164-nucleotide ribosomal RNA is filed under the name Acer micranthum. RNAcentral describes it as "5.8S rRNA". It matches the Rfam family "5.8S ribosomal RNA". Rfam says of the family: 5.8S ribosomal RNA (5.8S rRNA) is a component of the large subunit of the eukaryotic ribosome. It is transcribed by RNA polymerase I as part of the 45S precursor that also contains 18S and 28S rRNA. Functionally, it is thought that 5.8S rRNA may be involved in ribosome translocation. The record is from RNAcentral. Lineage: Eukaryota; Viridiplantae; Streptophyta; Magnoliopsida; Sapindales; Sapindaceae.
AAAACGACUCUCGGCAACGGAUAUCUCGGCUCUCGCAUCGAUGAAGAACGUAGCNAAAUGCGAUACUUGGUGUGAAUUGCAKAAUCCCGUGAACCAUCGAGUCUUUGAACGCAAGUUGCGCCCCAAGCCGUUAGGCCGAGGGCACGCCUGCCUGGGUGUCACGC